UACGUAGGGGGCAAGCGUUGUCCGGAUUUAUUGGGCGUAAAGAGCGUGUAGGCGGCUUUGCAGGUCCGCUGUGAAACCUCGAGGCUCAACCUCGAGCUGUCGGUGGAAACCGUAAAGCUAGAGUCCGGAAGAGGAGAGUGGAAUUCCCGGUGUAGCGGUGAAAUGCGCAGAUAUCGGGAAGAACACCCGUGGCGAAGGCGGCUCUCUGGGACGGUACUGACGCUGAGACGCGAAAGCGUGGGGAGCGAACAGG
This 253-nucleotide ribosomal RNA is filed under the name uncultured bacterium. RNAcentral describes it as "partial 16S ribosomal RNA". It matches the Rfam family "Bacterial small subunit ribosomal RNA", at positions 524 to 776 of the family's 1533-position model. The record is from RNAcentral.